CAGUAGCCGCGGUAAUACGUAGGGUGCAAGCGUUAUCCGGAAUUAUUGGGCGUAAAGAGCUCGUAGGCGGUUUGUCGCGUCUGCUGUGAAAACUGGAGGCUCAACCUCCAGCCUGCAGUGGGUACGGGCAAACUAGAGUGCGGUAGGGGAGAUUGGAAUUCCUGGUGUAGCGGUGGAAUGCGCAGAUAUCAGGAGGAACACCGAUGGCGAAGGCAGAUCUCUGGGCCGUAACUGACGCUGAGGAGCGAAAGCAUGGGGAGCGAACAGGAUUAGAUACCCCAGUAGUCCCUGUCUCUUAUAC
RNAcentral lists this ribosomal RNA (301 nucleotides) under uncultured bacterium. RNAcentral's name for it is "partial 16S ribosomal RNA". It matches the Rfam family "Bacterial small subunit ribosomal RNA", at positions 509 to 807 of the family's 1533-position model. The record is from RNAcentral.